AAAGCCAACAGUAAGUAAAGGGAUAAGGAGUAUCAGAGGGCUUUCAAGAAACCAUUUUAGGUUGGAGGCUGCUGGGAUUUGAGAGGGUUUAAAAUCAAUAAAUAUACCAAACUUGAGCCUUCAAGACUCCUCUGCUUUUUAAAAAUUAAAGGAACUUUCAGCUAGGAAAAGGAUAAUAACCAGUGAUCUACCACGCAGCAUGGAAGUUCUACUGUGAGUCAGUUUCCCCAAGUCAAAGCUGUUGGAUGACUGAUGCCCUGACUAAUUAAACAAGUAGCCAAGGUUCAUAAUUCUUGGACAAAUCCUGUCCCACCCAGAAGGCUACCCUGCCCCACCCAUUGUGAGCAAGAAAGCUCUUUGAUGUGAGGAAAUGGAGAGAAGGAAAUAACAUUUGUUUGAGAAAGUGAGAGCAAAUGGCAAUGUCAGGAUGAUGCCUACCCACUUUGACUCUUCUGAAGGAUGCAGAAGCCCCUAUGAAGGCACACAUCUGAUUUUUCAGGGCUACUGAAGGAUUGUUCAAUGGGCUGUAACAAGAAAACAAUUGCCAGUGCCAGUAACAGUAAUGACCUAGCUGGAAACUUCAUGAGGAACUCUGCUUUACUCAGUCUUGAGAUAACAGAGACAUGCCACCUGCAUGCACUACCUCCUUGCAUUCUGCCACCAUGUCACCAAUCCCUGACGGUAUCAUUCAGCUCUCUCUGACUUCAAAUAUAGUUCUUUGUGAUAGCAACAUCCAAAUCGCUUGAGAAACACCUGAGAGUCUUCUGUGGUUUAACAUAGUAUCAGGACUUGUUUAAGUGCUAAUAAACAUGGGUGUAAACACAUCGCAAGAGUCUCUUCCAGAACCCUUUCUGUGCACUGGUGAAACUUCCUGCCAUCUGCUGGAAGCUUGCCUAUCCUUUAGAGAUAGCUGUGAGCAGGGGGAAGGUACCAGACUAAGGGUGUACAGGGCAGUGAACCAAUGGAAUCUCACAGCCAAUAUUGGGCUGCCUGCCGUCAGCCACCAGAGGUGACAUUCACUCUACAAGAAAAAAUUAUUAAUGCUAACACCAUCCUGACUUUCUUCAGGAUCUCAUGGACAGAAAUUUAGAGGUUUAUUUCAAACAUUCAGCUUGGGUAAUCGCAAAUCUUACUUUUUAAUUCCAGAGGUCUUGGGAACAGUGCCAGAGCUGAGCUAAAGGGGAUAUCAUUCAUUAUCAGUAGUCUAACCUAUGCUGAGAGACAGAGUCCUCCAGCACCAGCAUGUCCAAAUUUCAGAGCAUGGUUCCUCCAUAACUCAAGAAGUAUGAGUUUCUUUUGUGAAAAAUUAAAGCACAGUCUGUGGUGUUAUAUGAACAAAAAUUUUAAAUUGUGGUACUUUCGCCAUCCACAUUUGAUUUGUUGAGUUGCAAUCAGGUGUGGUUCAUGAAAAGCAUAUAAACUAUGGAGGUGCUUCCACCAGCCAUCAGUACAAAGAAAUCACCAGUGUUUAUCAAUUUUUAUGCUAUAUUUUAAGAUGUCAUGCUAUCAUUACCUGGAUCUGUAAUGUAUCCAAAUCUCUUUUGGGGAAAAAAAAAAAAAAAAAAAAAAAAAGCCAGUAGUUCUAUCUUAGGCAUUCCAAUACUUUGCUCUUUAAGGAUAUAUGUGUAGACAGUGAAUAGAUCCAACUGCCGUGAGAAAAGAAUAGAUGCAUGCCCUGCCCUGGCCCAUUACCCUCUUAUUCAUUUCAAUACACUGCUUGAUUUGUAACUAUCACUCCUUGCUCAGCUAUUUAUUUUAUGGUAGCUCAUUGCAAUUCCUGUCAUUGCUUCCUCCUUAUUUUUCCAUUUUACCUGAUGCAGCUUGGCAUGUUUGAUAAGCGUAAGUGGGCCCAACUCAGUCUUGGCAUCUUCAAGCACAGUGCAACUGACAUCAGUCAGAGCCACUAAUAACAGGAUGGACUUGGCACCAUGGAUGCACUGCAGGUAUCAUUGCAAACCGAUGACUUCAUUUCUGCCUUUAUCUGUUUCACCCACCAUCAAGGCCUCAAAACCCAAACGUGAAAUUGUGCUUAGUUUCAAGAAACAUGAGAAUUUUCUUCAGUGUUUUCUACCUGUCUCUACUGCCACUCUAGCUUCAGAUUUCCAUUUCUCUUGGUGUUUUCUGCUCUCAUCAUGGGACUAUGUUUAUUCCCAUCCUCUAUGGUCUCAGCAUCAGGACUCGAGAAGAUGAGGCAGUUUGAGCUGUGCUGUAUUAUUUAUCUCACCUAUUUUCCCUUCAGCAAGAAAUGACUCUGAACUCUUCCUCCUUCCACUCUCCCCCAAAUUUCUCCUCUUCUUUCCUCAGUAUUAAGAGUCAGCAGAAGUAGAAAUCCUAGGUAUUCAAGUGGUGGCAGAGAUUUAUUUUUUUUAUUUGUUUUAAUUUUGCAUUACAUAUGUAUGUCUAUCUCUGGUAAAAGUAAGUUGUUUUUCUAAAUGAAAGGAUGCCCAAUAUGUUUAUCUGUUAAUUUUGAAUUCACAAGAAAAAAUGGAACAAAAUGCUACAACUGUUGCCAUCAUCUAGAAGGAAUAAAAAUUUCAGACUCUGGUCCCAGCUUUAUGCAUUUGAAAUGCAGAUUUCAGUAUUUCAGUGCUAGCUGUUUUAUAGGAAAUACAUAGGUAAAGCUUCUUGAAAGAAAUGAGGUACAUCUAUUUGCUUAAUCUCAGAAGAGAGGAAAAAUGAUUGUAAUGCUUCUGUUUUCAGAGUAGUGGAUCGAUCUUGCUUUAUUUUAAGAAUCUUUAAAUAUUGGAUUUAUCAGGGUCAUCGCAUAAAAAGUGGGAGAUUGCCGGGUGUGAUUUCCUCUCUUCUCUACAAUCUACUCUGCAGCAUCCAGGAGAAUAAGUUAUGUGAAAUAAUUAAAUUACAGCAAUAAAUGUUAGGCAUCUAACAUUGCUUUGUGAAAUUAAAGCAUAAAAGCAGGCACAGGAAGGGUAGAAAACAUAGAGAAAAAUCUGCAGAUUUUACAAGAGGUGUGGACAGAGAAGGGAGAACAAGGAAAUUGUACAGACUUUUAUCACAACUACUUAUGACUUUUUCUGGGGGUUGUAUUUCUUUGUAGUCUUCCUCUACCCUCUUGACUCUCCCUAUAAAGCAUUUUAUGAGACAUGUUAAGUAUUUUAUGUAAAAAAUAAGUUGUAUCACAUUGCACUGUAGGUCAAGGCAGGAAGGACACAUUGCCUGAAUAGCUUGUUAAUCUCUUUCAUCUUUCUCAUGCUGUCAUUAAUGCUUAUCUGUUCCCAUAGCUAUUGCAAAGUCAUCUGUUUUCUCCAGUGGCAUAGUGCAAUAAUAAAAUCUUUGAUUUGACAUACAA
Long non-coding RNA from Gallus gallus (chicken), 3307 nucleotides. RefSeq lists it as uncharacterized. NCBI's taxonomy places the organism in Eukaryota, Metazoa, Chordata, Aves, Galliformes, Phasianidae. The transcript is spliced from 4 exons. The record is from RefSeq and is a predicted model, not a curated record.